AGAAGCGCCUGGUCCUGUAACGGGAAAAUACUUUACAGGAUGACGAGGAGAGGGGAGUAUCGAAGCAUUCGGCGGAUGCCCCUCCGCGCCCGCGGGCGCGAAACACGGUCUGGAAAACGCGCGGGCAACCGCGGAACAAAGGGAU
Molecule: non-coding RNA, 145 nt
Filed under: uncultured Dysosmobacter sp.
Lineage: Bacteria; Bacillati; Bacillota; Clostridia; Eubacteriales; Oscillospiraceae
Description: glmS glucosamine-6-phosphate activated ribozyme
Rfam family: glmS glucosamine-6-phosphate activated ribozyme aptamer
About the family: This entry contains a glucosamine-6-phosphate activated ribozyme that is found in the mRNA for GlmS.
Source: RNAcentral